AACAUGUGUACCGAGUCGACUGUUCUCUGGGAUCUGUUUUCAUGCUAAUCGAAUGUGUCUCUAGCUUGAAACAAGCUAGCGAAAACCGGUGAUUAGCUUAAUAUGCUAGCCUUCGGGGCACAGUAUACUGACAUACAUGCAU
Long non-coding RNA from Sander lucioperca (pikeperch), 142 nucleotides. RefSeq lists it as uncharacterized. The transcript has 3 exons. The record is from RefSeq and is a predicted model, not a curated record. NCBI's taxonomy places the organism in Eukaryota, Metazoa, Chordata, Actinopteri, Perciformes, Percidae.